RNAcentral lists this ribosomal RNA (337 nucleotides) under uncultured fungus. RNAcentral's name for it is "SSU rRNA". It matches the Rfam family "Eukaryotic small subunit ribosomal RNA", at positions 20 to 370 of the family's 1831-position model. Lineage: Eukaryota; Fungi. The record is from RNAcentral.
GUAGUCAUAUGCUUGUCUCAAAGAUUAAGCCAUGCAUGUCUAAGUAUAAGCAACUUUGUACUGUGAAACUGCGAAUGGCUCAUUAAAUCAGUUAUAGUUUAUUUGAUGGUUCUUGCUACAUGGAUAACUGUGGUAAUUCUAGAGCUAAUACAUGCAUUCAAGCCCCGACUUCUGGAAGGGGUGUAUUUAUUAGAUAAAAAUCAACUUUGUUGGUGAAUCAUAAUAACUUCUCGGACCGCAUGGCCUCGUGCUGGCGGUGCUUCAUUCAAAUAUCUGCCCUAUCAACUGUCGAUGGUAGGAUAGAGGCCUACCAUGGUUGCAACGGGUAACGGGGAAU